RNAcentral lists this ribosomal RNA (115 nucleotides) under uncultured bacterium. Its description in RNAcentral is "partial 16S ribosomal RNA". It matches the Rfam family "Bacterial small subunit ribosomal RNA", at positions 1367 to 1481 of the family's 1533-position model. The record is from RNAcentral.
UACGUUCCCGGGCCUUGUACACACCGCCCGUCAAGUCAUGAAAGUCGGUAACACCCGAAGCCGGUGGCCCAACCUUAGGGAGGGAGCCGUCGAAGGUGGGACUGGCGAUUAGGAC